RNAcentral lists this ribosomal RNA (155 nucleotides) under uncultured Streptococcus sp. RNAcentral describes it as "partial 16S ribosomal RNA". It matches the Rfam family "Bacterial small subunit ribosomal RNA", at positions 1228 to 1382 of the family's 1533-position model. The record is from RNAcentral. Lineage: Bacteria; Bacillati; Bacillota; Bacilli; Lactobacillales; Streptococcaceae.
CUAGAGUUGGUACAACGAGUUGCGAGUCGGUGACGGCGAGCUAAUCUCUUAAAGCCAAUCUCAGUUCGGAUUGUAGGCUGCAACUCGCCUACAUGAAGUCGGAAUCGCUAGUAAUCGCGGAUCAGCACGCCGCGGUGAAUACGUUCCCGGGCCUU